GCAGGGCUCUGACCUAUGACUUGACAGCCAGUGCCCUCUCCCCUCUGGCUGCCAAUUCCAUAGGUCACAGGUAUGU
RNAcentral lists this microRNA precursor (76 nucleotides) under Erinaceus europaeus (western European hedgehog). RNAcentral describes it as "mir-192/215 microRNA precursor family". It matches the Rfam family "mir-192/215 microRNA precursor family". Rfam says of the family: This family represents the human microRNA (miRNA) precursors mir-192 and mir-215. Animal miRNAs are transcribed as ~70nt precursors and subsequently processed by the Dicer enzyme to give a ~22nt product. Lineage: Eukaryota; Metazoa; Chordata; Mammalia; Eulipotyphla; Erinaceidae. The record is from Rfam by way of RNAcentral.